Molecule: transfer RNA, 81 nt
Filed under: Akkermansia muciniphila
Lineage: Bacteria; Pseudomonadati; Verrucomicrobiota; Verrucomicrobiia; Verrucomicrobiales; Akkermansiaceae
Description: tRNA-Ala
Source: RNAcentral
GGGGGCGCUACACACUUGUAUCGGGAGUGCGCUUGAAUGGCAUUCAAGAGAUAGUCAGUUCGGUCCCGAUCGUCUCCACCA